GUUCUGCGAAUAAAUAACUGGAUUUACCUACAUGUCAGUGAAAAGGCAGGACAUGGAAACUUGUGUUUACAAGGCUUCUCAAAUGAUGAAGUCAAGGAAGUCUCCUCUCUGAGAAUGGCUCAUCACCUGAUUGAUAUUCAGUCAUCCAGAAGGGAUUCAAGUGGCAGAAAGACCUGCAUCUUCCAUUUAAGAGUACAAACCAGAAUUCACAUGUCACAUCUAGCCAAUACUCCAUUUGCCAUCAAUAGUCAUGUGACUAACCCAGGCAGAAGGGAAGCCAUGAGAAGGAUAGUCAUUUUCUUAAUUAGAUUGGACAAAACUCUUCACAGUUCAAAAUACACCAUUCUGGAUCCGCAGCGUUGGCCUGCUUUGCCAGGGUGAUCUGGAGACCGGGAUCAUCACUCUGAUGAGCUGUUUUUUGUUUUCUUCUCUCUCUCUGUGAUAUCAUAAUUAAAAAAUUAAAAAAAAAUUAAAAAAAUACACAUUCUUUCAGAAUAUUUUUUCUUCUAGAAUGAAAUAUUUUGCAGAACUUUAGAACUACCCAAUAUAUCACUUGUUUUUACUUUUAAGUUUAUUCACCCCCUUCUCAUUUUUUUAGCAAUAAAAGAUAACUAAACACAAUUAGCUUUAGUUUGUUGGUCAGGAUUAAAUAACUUUUCAUUACAUAGACCCUGAGCAUGGUGCUGGGACUUGUUAAAUGUCAGACAAGAAAAAAAAGGCAUUUGAAUUGGAGUUAAACAUCAAGAUAAAUUGUUUUAUGUUGUCACAGUUUUAAUGUCAAAUCUAUCAAUAUCUCUAUACACAUACACACAAAUAUAUAUAUACAAUAGGAUACACAUACAUGUGUAUGUUUUGUGUACAUAAUAUGCACACACACAAAUCCAGCAAGUGGCUUGGGCACAUAGUCAACUUAAUAUACACUAACACAUAACACUAGAAUCUCAGAGCAAAUAAUUGAGAGGUUAUUUUAUUUCAUUUUUUAUUUUUUAAAAUGACUUUAUUUAUUUAUUCAUGAGAGACACUGAGAGAGAGGCAGAGGCCUAGGCAGAGGGGGAAGCAGGCUCCCUGUGGAAAGCCUGAUAUAGGAUUCUAUCCUAGGACCCUGGGAUCAUGACCUGAGGUGAGGGCAGAUGCUCAACUACUGAGCAACCCAGCUACCCCGACCCAGGUUAUUUUAGAAA
This 1181-nucleotide long non-coding RNA is filed under the name Canis lupus familiaris (dog). RNAcentral's name for it is "lncRNA (ENSCAFG00040001704.1)". Lineage: Eukaryota; Metazoa; Chordata; Mammalia; Carnivora; Canidae. The record is from RNAcentral.